Molecule: ribosomal RNA, 1267 nt
Filed under: Dindymus rubiginosus
Lineage: Eukaryota; Metazoa; Arthropoda; Insecta; Hemiptera; Pyrrhocoridae
Description: 16S ribosomal RNA
Rfam family: Archaeal large subunit ribosomal RNA (bases 831-1199)
Source: RNAcentral
UUAAUUUAUAUAUUAUAUGUUAUAUUAAUAAUUUAAUUUAUAAUUAAAAUAAUAUUUAUUUUAGUAUUUUUUAUAGAAAUGGUAAAAUUAAUGAUAGUUAAUAGUACUGUAAAGGGUUUAAUUUAUUUAUUUAAAAGUAUAAUUAAUUUAGUACCUUUUGUAUCAGGGUUUAUUUAUUUUUUUUAAUUAUUUUAAUUUUCCCGAAAUUAAAAGAGAUAAAAUUAAAUGUAAGUUUAUGUAAUAAUAUAAUUUAUUAUUUAAUUUUAGGAAUUAUAUGUUAUUCAAUUUUAAAUAUCUGGUUACUUAAGAAUUAAAUUUAAUUUAGGAAUUUUAAUUAGUUAAUUUAUAAUUUAAUUUGAAUUGAUUUAAUAUUCUAAAAUUACUAGGGAUUAGCUUAGUUAUUUAUUUAUAUAGUUAAUAAAAAUUUUAGAGCUUGUAGGAUUAGUAAUGUCCAUCUUUUAUUUUAUUAUAAUUAAUUUUAUUUAGUUAUUUUAUUUUUUUAUUCUUAUUUUAGUAUUAAGUAGUAAUUUUUUAUUAAUUAUAAUUAGUUAUAAUGAUAAAAUAAGUAGAAUUUUAAAUUAAAUUUAGGAACUCGGCAAUUUUUAUUUUCGCCUGUUUAACAAAAACAUGGCUUAUAGUAUAUUAAUUUUAAGUCUGACCUGCUCAAUGAAUAUUAUUUUUAAAUUGCUAUAGUAUUUUGACUAUACAAAGGUAGCAUAAUAAUUUGUUUUUUAAUUGAAGACUUGUAUGAAUGGUUGGACGAGAGAUAAACUUUCUUAAUUUAAGUUAUAUUUUGAAUUUAAUAUUUUUGUAAAAAAGCUUAAAUAUAGUUGUGGGACGAGAAGACCCUAUAGAAUUUUAAUAAGGUUUUAAUAAUAUUAGUAUAGAUAGGGUUACUUAAUAUUAUUAAAACCUUAUUUUUGUUGGGGUGAUAGUGGAAAAUUUUUAACUUCCAUUAAAAGUUUUCAUUAAUUAAUGUAUAGUUGAUCCUAUAUUAUAGAUUAAAAGAUUAAAUUACCUUAGGGAUAACAGCGUUAUUAUUUUGGAGAGUUCAUAUUGAUGAAAUAGUUUGCGACCUCGAUGUUGGAUUAAAGUUAGUUUUAUAGUGCAGAAGCUUAAUAACUAGGUCUGUUCGACCUUUAAAUCUUUACAUGAUCUGAGUUCAGACCGGCGUGAGCCAGGUUGGUUUCUAUCUACAAUAAUGUAAAACAAUAUAGUACGAAAGGACCUAUUGUUUUUAAUAUUUAAUUUAUGAAUGUUAAUUAUU